Columba livia (rock pigeon) is the source of this 1910-nucleotide long non-coding RNA. RefSeq lists it as uncharacterized. The record is from RefSeq and is a predicted model, not a curated record. The transcript is spliced from 3 exons. NCBI's taxonomy places the organism in Eukaryota, Metazoa, Chordata, Aves, Columbiformes, Columbidae.
CCCAAAAAUUAUUCCAAAGGAAAAAAAAAAAAGACGAGAGCAAACUAUCUGUGCUGACCGUGCCUGCGCCACCCGUUGUGGGGUCAUUUUGCAUUUUACCUGGCAAGCCACAUUCUCCUUUUACAAGCAAAUAUUAUUUUUAAAGGUUACUGCGAGUCUGCAGUGCUAAUGCAUUUGGGUCAGGAUUUUUCUACUCCAAAACCACUGUUUAGUGACAAAAAGACACUUAGGAGAAAUCCCUUCCACCUUAGGUUGUAUUUCCGAUGUGAUCCGCCCCACGCAUCUGACGGCUGCAGUGGGUAGAGGCAGGAAGCAGGGAUACAGGGUGCCAGGCUGGAUGCUUCCCCAGCAUGAUGGGAGGCCGUGCAAUGUGAUUACCAGCCUAGGGAGAGCGGAACAUUGCACAGGUUUACAUGCACCAUCCGUCACUUGCUGACCGUGUUGUUUUCUCUUCGCACACUUGUAUGGAAAUUGAACUACAAAACAUUCCUAUGAACUGCUCCCUGAUGUGCAAAUAUAGCUUUAAAUGACUUCUCUAGGAAAGAAUCCUCACUAUUUUAUACAAAUUGUCUUGCAUGUUUAUUACACAGAAUCAUGAUCCAAAAAGAAGGGGAUUCAACCCAUGCCUAUUCAUAACACUGCUCUCCCUUAUGCAUUAUGAGCUGAAACAUACUCCAGGCCCCCUUGCAUGAUGAAUGAUACUUACUUUCCUCUUUGCUUCCAGCCUGCUCUGAUUUGCUUAUUUAUGGAACUUCAGUGUGCUGAUGGAAACCCUUCUCACCCAGUUUCUCCAUGAGCCAGAGCACAUCACAGGAACUGGGCUUGCAAUGAGCAGUUUGGAGGGGGAGCAGUAAGGCUGGAAACACUGCUCCUGGCCUCACCACGGGGCAAAGACAACCUGGCACUGCCAGCUCCAGAUCUGCUGAGCUUCCCACCAACAUUCUUGCCACCAGCUGGCAGUUUAUCCACCACAUUUGAAGUCCUCUCUCGCACCCCGUGUCUCAGAACAGAGCACCAGGCUGGACAUAGGGCCACACAGAUGCACGGGUGCCCACCUGCCCACCCUGUGGAUGCUGUGCCUGGGAGGUAUGAGCAGGACGUCUCCUGCUGUAUUUUUGCUUGACUGGCUCGGCCAGCCCAUUCCACUGUCUGCACACAGCCCCGGAGAGAGUGGAAGGAAACAAUGUGCUGGACAGCCAAGCCAAACACCAGGAGGUCAAACACUGCAGCACGGCUUCUCGGAGACUACACACACACCCCAUGCAAGUCCACUUGUCUCCUGGCACAGGAGCAUCUCGCAGAGCCUCAUGCUAACACCACAGCCACAAAUGCCGGCUCCUGACCCUGGGCUCCAGGACAAGCUCCUUCCCCAUCCAGAGACGAGGAUUUUGCAGCGCAGGUGGGAACAAGGUGCUGGAGUGGGCAGUCCCAGUGCAAAGCGCAGCUCCCCCUUCCCCAGCAGCACGGACCACUUGGCAAAGGCAGUUAAAAAACCCCCAACAGUACAAAGUGAGAGCGCUCAGCCCGGGGAAAUCUUAACAUGAAGCUGCAGCACAUUUCAGUGCACGUGAAUGGUGCGAGUACUCGGCCUGGAGGCUGUGGGUACCCAUCACACCUGCAGACACCAGCUGGCACCUCAUGGGUACCCGGGGUCCCGAGACCUCCCUUGACUCAUUCCCUGGAAAAAGUGGAAUCCCACUCAUUGAAGAUAAAAACGGAGGCCACGCAAUGAGCUUGUUCCACCUUGCAGGGAAAGCACCUUCCUGAAUUCCCUUAUUUCUCAAGGAGGUUCAGUGUCUCCACACGGGAGUCGAUGGGUGAUGGUGUACCUACAAGGGAAACCACACUGAGUUUCAACCCUGUUUGUAGUUAAACAUAUGUUUAAAAUAAAAUUAAAAAAAUAUUUAAAA